AGGACGAACGCUGGCGGCGUGCUUAACACAUGCAAGUGGAGCGACGAACCAGGGCUUGCCCUGGGGCAGAGCCGCGAACGGGUGAGUAACACGUGGGUUACCUGCCUCGAUGACCGGGACAACCCGAGGAAACUCGGGCUAAUACCGGAUGUGCCCGCAAGGGGAAAGGAAGCUUCGGCCUCCGCAUCGAGAUGGGCCCGCGGCCCAUUAGCUUGUUGGUGAGGUAACGGCUCACCAAGGCUUCGAUGGGUAGCUGGUCUGAGAGGACGAUCAGCCACACUGGGACUGAGACACGGCCCAGACUCCUACGGGAGGCAGCAGUGGGGAAUCUUGCGCAAUGCGCGAAAGCGUGACGCAGCAACGCCGCGUGGGGGAAGAAGGCUUUCGGGUUGUAAACCCCUUUCAGUUGGGACGAAGCUUCUCCGGUGAAUAGCCGGAUGGAGUGACGGUACCUUCACAAGAAGCACCGGCUAACGUACGUGCCAGCAGCCGCGGU
Molecule: ribosomal RNA, 496 nt
Filed under: uncultured bacterium
Lineage: Bacteria
Description: SSU rRNA
Rfam family: Bacterial small subunit ribosomal RNA
Source: RNAcentral